This 86-nucleotide transfer RNA is filed under the name Desulfobulbus sp. RNAcentral describes it as "tRNA-Leu". It matches the Rfam family "tRNA". Rfam says of the family: Transfer RNA (tRNA) molecules are approximately 80 nucleotides in length. Their secondary structure includes four short double-helical elements and three loops (D, anti-codon, and T loops). Lineage: Bacteria; Pseudomonadati; Thermodesulfobacteriota; Desulfobulbia; Desulfobulbales; Desulfobulbaceae. The record is from RNAcentral.
GCCCGGAUGGCGGAACUGGUAGACGCAAGGGACUUAAAAUCCCUCGGCCUUUGGCUGUACGAGUUCGAUCCUCGUUCCGGGUACCA